CUUUUGAUUUUGAUUUAAGGUCUAAUCUGCCCACUGAAAAUUUUUGAAUGGCCGCGGUAUUUUGACCGUGCAAAGGUAGCGUGAUAAUUAGUUUUUUAAUUGAAAGCUGGUAUGAAUGAUUGGACGAGAAAAUUACUGUCUCAAUUUAAUUUAAGUAAAAUUUUAUUUUUAAGUUAAAAAGCUUAAAUUUUUUUUAAAGACGAGAAGACCCUAUAGAGUUUGAUUUAAUAUUAUUUAAUUUUAAUUUGGUUAAUUGAUUUAUUUUUAGAUAAUAUUUAAUUUGGUUGGGGUGAUUAAAAGAUUUAAUUAACUCUUUUUUUAAAAACAAAGAUUUUUGGAUUUUUGAUCUAAAUUAUUAAUUUAAAGAAUAAAUUACCUUAGGGAUAACAGCGUAAUCUUUCUAGAAGUUCUUAUUGAAAGAAAGGGUUGCGACCUCGAUGUUGGAUUAAAAUUAACUUUUGGUGCAGAAGCU
RNAcentral lists this ribosomal RNA (472 nucleotides) under Anischia bicolor. RNAcentral's name for it is "partial 16S ribosomal RNA". The record is from RNAcentral. Lineage: Eukaryota; Metazoa; Arthropoda; Insecta; Coleoptera; Anischiidae.